Long non-coding RNA from Malurus melanocephalus (red-backed fairy wren), 385 nucleotides. RefSeq lists it as uncharacterized. The transcript is spliced from 3 exons. NCBI's taxonomy places the organism in Eukaryota, Metazoa, Chordata, Aves, Passeriformes, Maluridae. The record is from RefSeq and is a predicted model, not a curated record.
GAGGGUUUUUUAAGGGGGUCUGAAGUUUUUUAGGGGGUUAUCAGUGAUUUUAAGGGGUUUCACACGGCUCCAGGAGCGUUUCCCAUCCGGGGCCUCUUUCCCUCAGCAAAACCCACGAGGAAUUUGGGCUUUUCAUUCCCCGCCACUCCCCCGAAGCCAAAGCCCGGCCGCGCCGGCUGCCCGGAGCCUGCAAAUGACGGGGGUACUCGGUGUCAGCAGAGGCGUCCAAGGCCAYCAGCACCUCCUGGAACCCAUCCCCCUUGGCCAAGGCCACCAGCCGGCGCUCCAUGAACUCCUCCACUGUCACUCGGUAGGAGCUGGAAGAAGAUCAAGGUGCCAUAGAUGGUGGCGGAGGGAUGGUCCCACUCCUGCCAGUGCCCCCCAG